AAUAGUUUCGUACCACAAAAUGUGGCACUCUUCAGAUAAAUUGACCUAAUCAAUUUAUCUGAAGAGUGCCACAUUUUGUGGUACGAAACUAUU
Molecule: non-coding RNA, 93 nt
Organism: Paramuricea clavata
Lineage: Eukaryota; Metazoa; Cnidaria; Anthozoa; Malacalcyonacea; Plexauridae
Source: the annotation of a GenBank genome assembly